AUGAGAUUCACUUUCGUUCUUGCCGGGUGGCCUGGAUCGGUUCAUGAUAUGAGGCCCUUCAAGGAUGCCCUUAGCCGGUUUAGUCACAAGUUUCCUCAUCCACCUCCAGGAAAAUUUUAUCUUGUUGACUCGGGCUACCCCAACAAGGCGGAUUAUCUUGCACCAUAUAGGGGACAGAAGUACCAUUUUCAAGAGUUCCAUCAAGGCACCAUGCCGAGAGGUAAAAAAGAGCACUUCAACUACACUCAUUCUAGACUACGCAAUGUCAUUGAGCGUUCUUUUGGAGUCUUGAAAAAUAAGUGGAGGAUCCUUUUUAAAAUACAAAGUUAUCCUCUACACAAACAAACAAAAAUUAUUGUUGCAUGUAUGGCCUUGCACAAUUUUAUCCGCGAAAGUCUGUUGGAGGAUAAAGAAUUCGACAGGUGUGAUAGAGAUGAGAAUUAUCAACCUCUCCUUGAGGAAACAAGGAGGAGGCAUCGUAACAGGAGGGAUCUAGAAAUGGAGCAAGAUUCGGUCGACAUGAAUCAAUUGAGAGAUAGAAUUGCUGAUGGUUUGUUCCAGGGCCAUUGA
This 570-nucleotide ribosomal RNA is filed under the name Triticum aestivum (bread wheat). RNAcentral's name for it is "partial small subunit ribosomal RNA". Lineage: Eukaryota; Viridiplantae; Streptophyta; Magnoliopsida; Poales; Poaceae. The record is from RNAcentral.